ACUCCUCAACGGGUUUGCUGCGCGGAUAUCUUCGAUUCACUGCUUUAGGUGAGCCAUCCUCGGAUAUCAUGGAGCUGCAUUUGCAUUUUGGAAUAAGGAAUAUGUUUUCUCCUGCGUUUCGAACGAAGGGUGGGAACGUCAUCGGAUCGGUGCAACAUCUCCCGGGUUUCUCCAUGUACAACGUGUGAUGGUGCUUUUCUCGUAGACGUUUCUCUGGACAGACAGUGAGAGAGAAGCCGUUGAUCCACUGAUGAUGUUGGUCUGUUUACAGAUUAUAGAAAAACCUGUGCUUGUGGAUCUACAUCGGAUGACCAUGGCAACCCAGGUGUGGAAAUAUUUGACUGUUUUUAAUCUGAAAUCUGUGUAAUCUAAGAUGGACAAUUCUUCUGACACCAUAUGAAUGCAUACUGUCGUCUGGCAGAAGCUAGAUCAUUUAGAUUAUAAAGUUAUAUGUUUUUACACAUGCAUCUAUUUGCUUCAGAAGGCCUUUAUUAAAGGAUUAGUUCACCUCAAAAUGAACAUUUCCUGAUCAUUAAAGGAAUAGUCUACUCAUUUUCAAUAUUAAACUAUGUUAUUACCUUAACUAAGAAUUGUUGAUACAUCCCUCUAUCAUCUGUGUGCGUG
Paramisgurnus dabryanus is the source of this 624-nucleotide long non-coding RNA. RefSeq lists it as uncharacterized. Lineage: Eukaryota; Metazoa; Chordata; Actinopteri; Cypriniformes; Cobitidae. The record is from RefSeq and is a predicted model, not a curated record.